RNAcentral lists this microRNA (24 nucleotides) under Gallus gallus (chicken). RNAcentral describes it as "microRNA miR-212". The record is from RNAcentral. Lineage: Eukaryota; Metazoa; Chordata; Aves; Galliformes; Phasianidae.
UAACAGUCUACAGUCAUGGCUACC